AGUGAACGCUGGCGGCGUGCUUAACACUUGCAAGUCGAACGAGAACGGAAUAUAGCUUGCUAUAUUUGUCAGUUAAGUGGCGCACGGGUGAGUAAUGUAUAGAUAACCUGCCCUUAAGAAAGGAAUAACAGUUGGAAACGACUGCUAAUGCCCUAUAUGCCUUUAAUACAUAAGUAUGCAAGGGAAACGCUUUAGUGCUUAAGGAUGGGUCUGUAUGGUAUCAGCUUGUUGGUGAGGUAAUGGCUCACCAAGGCUAUGACGCCUAACUGGUUUGAGAGGAUGAUCAGUCACACUGGAACUGAGACACGGUCCAGACUCCUACGGGAGGCAGCAGUGGGGAAUAUUGCACAAUGGACGAAAGUCUGAUGCAGCAACGCCGCGUGGAGGAUGACACAUUUCGGUGCGUAAACUCCUUUUAUAUAGGAAGAUAAUGACGGUACUAUAUGAAUAAGCACCGGCUAACUCCGUGCCAGCCGCCGCGGUAA
This 485-nucleotide ribosomal RNA is filed under the name uncultured bacterium. Its description in RNAcentral is "partial 16S ribosomal RNA". It matches the Rfam family "Bacterial small subunit ribosomal RNA", at positions 29 to 523 of the family's 1533-position model. The record is from RNAcentral.